This 618-nucleotide ribosomal RNA is filed under the name uncultured bacterium. RNAcentral's name for it is "bacterial SSU rRNA". It matches the Rfam family "Bacterial small subunit ribosomal RNA", at positions 338 to 951 of the family's 1533-position model. The record is from RNAcentral.
CCUACGGGAGGCAGCAGUGGGGAAUUUUGGACAAUGGGCGCAAGCCUGAUCCAGCAAUGCCGCGUGAGUGAAGAAGGCCUUCGGGUUGUAAAGCUCUUUUGUCAGGGAAGAAACGGUGGGAGCUAAUAUCUCCUACUAAUGACGGUACCUGAAGAAUAAGCACCGGCUAACUACGUGCCAGCAGCCGCGGUAAUACGUAGGGUGCAAGCGUUAAUCGGAAUUACUGGGCGUAAAGCGUGCGCAGGCGGUUUUGUAAGUCUGUCGUGAAAGCCCCGGGCUCAACCUGGGAAUUGCGAUGGAGACUGCAAGGCUUGAAUCUGGCAGAGGGGGGUAGAAUUCCACGUGUAGCAGUGAAAUGCGUAGAGAUGUGGAGGAACACCGAUGGCGAAGGCAGCCCCCUGGGUCAAGAUUGACGCUCAUGCACGAAAGCGUGGGGAGCAAACAGGAUUAGAUACCCUGGUAGUCCACGCCCUAAACGAUGUCUACUAGUUGUCGGGUUUUAAUUAACUUGGUAACGCAGCUAACGCGUGAAGUAGACCGCCUGGGGAGUACGGUCGCAAGAUUAAAACUCAAAGGAAUUGACGGCNGAGAGNGCGACGACGACGACGAGGGAGGAGG